ACCUCUGUGUGUGUGUGUGUGUGUGUGUGUGUGUGUGUGUGUGUGUGUGUGUGCGCGCGCGCACACGCACGCGCGCGCAUGCACCCA
This 87-nucleotide microRNA precursor is filed under the name Tupaia belangeri (northern tree shrew). Its description in RNAcentral is "miRNA (ENSTBEG00000019768.1)". Lineage: Eukaryota; Metazoa; Chordata; Mammalia; Scandentia; Tupaiidae. The record is from RNAcentral.